This 499-nucleotide ribosomal RNA is filed under the name Pseudomonas sp. DsA.N009. Its description in RNAcentral is "bacterial SSU rRNA". It matches the Rfam family "Bacterial small subunit ribosomal RNA", at positions 117 to 612 of the family's 1533-position model. Lineage: Bacteria; Pseudomonadati; Pseudomonadota; Gammaproteobacteria; Pseudomonadales; Pseudomonadaceae. The record is from RNAcentral.
CUAGGAAUCUGCCUGGUAGUGGGGGACAACGUUAAGAAAGGAACGCUAAUACCGCAUACGUCCUACGGGAGAAAGCAGGGGACCUUCGGGCCUUGCGCUAUCAGAUGAGCCUAGGUCGGAUUAGCUAGUAGGUGAGGUAAUGGCUCACCUAGGCGACGAUCCGUAACUGGUCUGAGAGGAUGAUCAGUCACACUGGAACUGAGACACGGUCCAGACUCCUACGGGAGGCAGCAGUGGGGAAUAUUGGACAAUGGGCGAAAGCCUGAUCCAGCCAUGCCGCGUGUGUGAAGAAGGUCUUCGGAUUGUAAAGCACUUUAAGUUGGGAGGAAGGGCAGUAAGUUAUUUCCUUGCUGUUUUGACGUUACCGACAGAAUAAGCACCGGCUAACUCUGUGCCAGCAGCCGCGGUAAUACAGAGGGUGCAAGCGUUAAUCGGAAUUACUGGGCGUAAAGCGCGCGUAGGUGGYUCGUUAAUUGGAUGUGAAAGCCCCCGGGCUCAA